This 495-nucleotide ribosomal RNA is filed under the name uncultured bacterium. RNAcentral describes it as "partial 16S ribosomal RNA". It matches the Rfam family "Bacterial small subunit ribosomal RNA", at positions 28 to 507 of the family's 1533-position model. The record is from RNAcentral.
GACGAACGCUGGCGGCGUGCCUAAUACAUGCAAGUAGAACGCUGAAGGAGGAGCUUGCUUCUCUGGAUGAGUUGCGAACGGGUGAGUAACGCGUAGGUAACCUGCCUGGUAGCGGGGGAUAACUAUUGGAAACGAUAGCUAAUACCGCAUAAGAGUAGAUGUUGCAUGACAUUUGCUUAAAAGGUGCAAUUGCAUCACUACCAGAUGGACCUGCGUUGUAUUAGCUAGUUGGUGGGGUAACGGCUCACCAAGGCGACGAUACAUAGCCGACCUGAGAGGGUGAUCGGCCACACUGGGACUGAGACACGGCCCAGACUCCUACGGGAGGCAGCAGUAGGGAAUCUUCGGCAAUGGACGGAAGUCUGACCGAGCAACGCCGCGUGAGUGAAGAAGGUUGUCGGAUCGUAAAGCUCGGUUGUAAGAGAAGAACGAGUGUGAGAGUGGAAAGUUCACACUGUGACGGUAUCUUACCAGAAAGGGACGGCUAACUACGUG